RNAcentral lists this ribosomal RNA (1007 nucleotides) under Paralentithecium suae. RNAcentral's name for it is "SSU rRNA". It matches the Rfam family "Eukaryotic small subunit ribosomal RNA", at positions 87 to 1103 of the family's 1831-position model. Lineage: Eukaryota; Fungi; Ascomycota; Dothideomycetes; Pleosporales; Lentitheciaceae. The record is from RNAcentral.
CUGCGAAUGGCUCAUUAAAUCAGUUAUCGUUUAUUUGAUAGUACCUUACUACUUGGAUAACCGUGGUAAUUCUAGAGCUAAUACAUGCUGAAAACCCCGACUUCGGAAGGGGUGUAUUUAUUAGAUAAAAAACCAAUGCCCUUCGGGGCUCCUUGGUGAUUCAUAAUAACUUCUCAGAUCGCAUGGCCUUGCGCCGGCGACGGUUCAUUCAAAUUUCUGCCCUAUCAACUUUCGAUGGUAAGGUAUUGGCUUACCAUGGUUUCAACGGGUAACGGGGAAUUAGGGUUCGAUUCCGGAGAGGGAGCCUGAGAAACGGCUACCACAUCCAAGGAAGGCAGCAGGCGCGCAAAUUACCCAAUCCCGACACGGGGAGGUAGUGACAAUAAAUACUGAUACAGGGCCCUUAUGGGUCUUGUAAUUGGAAUGAGUACAAUUUAAACCUCUUAACGAGGAACAAUUGGAGGGCAAGUCUGGUGCCAGCAGCCGCGGUAAUUCCAGCUCCAAUAGCGUAUAUUAAAGUUGUUGCAGUUAAAAAGCUCGUAGUUGAACCUUUGGCCUGGCUGGCAGGUCCGCCUCACCGCGUGCACUUGUCCGGCCGGGCCUUCUCUUCUGGAGAACCUCAUGCUCUUCACUGGGUGUGUUGGGGACCAGGACUUUUACUUUGAAAAAAUUAGAGUGUUCAAAGCAGGCCUUUGCUCGAAUACGUUAGCAUGGAAUAAUAGAAUAGGACGUGCGGUCCUAUUUUGUUGGUUUCUAGGACCGCCGUAAUGAUUAAUAGGGACAGUCGGGGGCAUCAGUAUUCAAUUGUCAGAGGUGAAAUUCUUGGAUUUAUUGAAGACUAACUACUGCGAAAGCAUUUGCCAAGGAUGUUUUCAUUAAUCAGUGAACGAAAGUUAGGGGAUCGAAGACGAUCAGAUACCGUCGUAGUCUUAACCAUAAACUAUGCCGACUAGGGAUCGGGCGGUGUUAUUAUUUUGACUCGCUCGGCACCUUACGAGAAAUCAAAG